RNAcentral lists this long non-coding RNA (208 nucleotides) under Mytilus galloprovincialis (Mediterranean mussel). The record is from RNAcentral. Lineage: Eukaryota; Metazoa; Mollusca; Bivalvia; Mytilida; Mytilidae.
GGGUCAAGCAAUACAAACAGACAAAUAUACAUUUUAAAUACAAUGCAAUACAAUAAAAUACAAUACAAUGUAAUAGAACAUAUUUUAAAAGUUCAAUUAUAAAUUUAUGUAUAAAACACAAUCAUGAGCUUGUCUGACAUGGGUCUGACUGACCCCUCAGUUCUAAAGACUGCUUAAUGAAGACUCCAAUAUGACAAACAAGUUCAGG